This is a long non-coding RNA of Tyto alba (common barn owl), 283 nucleotides long. RefSeq lists it as uncharacterized. The transcript has 2 exons. Lineage: Eukaryota; Metazoa; Chordata; Aves; Strigiformes; Tytonidae. The record is from RefSeq and is a predicted model, not a curated record.
GACCAAAGGCAUCGUCCCGGGGGCGGCAGAAGACGGAACAGCCCUCUCCGUAGUAGUGCUCGUCGCACACAAAGCGAUAGGAAUACUUGAGGUGUAGCCUGUCGGAGACUGACAGCUCGUUCGGAUGGCAAAAGAAAAAGAAAGGAAAAAAAAAAAAAAAAAAAGAAAAGAAAAGGAAAAAAAAAGGCUAAAAUUAAUCUGCUAAACUCUUUCUUUCCCAAUCCACGGUGCUCCUCCUUUUCUCCAGGAAGAAAAAAUAAAAAUUAAAAAAAAAAAAAAAAAA